GUGGUUCAGUGGUAGAAUACUCGCCUGCCACGCGGGUGGGCCGGUUUCCAUUCCCGGC
Molecule: transfer RNA, 58 nt
Filed under: Ixodes scapularis (black-legged tick)
Lineage: Eukaryota; Metazoa; Arthropoda; Arachnida; Ixodida; Ixodidae
Rfam family: tRNA
About the family: Transfer RNA (tRNA) molecules are approximately 80 nucleotides in length. Their secondary structure includes four short double-helical elements and three loops (D, anti-codon, and T loops). Further hydrogen bonds mediate the characteristic L-shaped molecular structure. tRNAs have two regions of fundamental functional importance: the anti-codon, which is responsible for specific mRNA codon recognition, and the 3' end, to which the tRNAs corresponding amino acid is attached (by aminoacyl-tRNA synthetases). tRNAs cope with the degeneracy of the genetic code in two manners: having more than one tRNA (with a specific anti-codon) for a particular amino acid; and 'wobble' base-pairing, i.e. permitting non-standard base-pairing at the 3rd anti-codon position.
Source: Rfam by way of RNAcentral